GACGAACGCUGGCGGCGUGCUUAACACAUGCAAGUCGAACGGAAAGGCCCUGCUUUUGUGGGGUGCUCGAGUGGCGAACGGGUGAGUAACACGUGAGUAACCUGCCCUUGACUUUGGGAUAACUUCAGGAAACUGGGGCUAAUACCGGAUAGGAGCUCCUGCUGCAUGGUGGGGGUUGGAAAGUUUCGGCGGUUGGGGAUGGACUCGCGGCUUAUCAGCUUGUUGGUGGGGUAGUGGCUUACCAAGGCUUUGACGGGUAGCCGGCCUGAGAGGGUGACCGGCCACAUUGGGACUGAGAUACGGCCCAGACUCCUACGGGAGGCAGCAGUGGGGAAUAUUGCACAAUGGGCGGAAGCCGGAUGCAGCAACGCCGCGUGCGGGAUGACGGCCUUCGGGUGGUAAACCGCUUUCGCCUGUGACGAAGCGUGAGGGACGGGAAUGGGUAAAGAAGCACCGGCGAACUACGU
RNAcentral lists this ribosomal RNA (467 nucleotides) under uncultured bacterium. RNAcentral describes it as "partial 16S ribosomal RNA". It matches the Rfam family "Bacterial small subunit ribosomal RNA", at positions 28 to 506 of the family's 1533-position model. The record is from RNAcentral.